GAAAAAGGAGUCACGGGAUGUCUGAGCCCCGAGCUGCGGGACCCGUCGUCAGAACACACCUGGCUGCGGCGAGAGGAGACGGAGGCAGCUCCAGACAAACAGGAGGCCACCCCACCCACGCUGGGAGCACCACCUCUCAGGAAGGAGUAGCUGUGACCUCUCCCACUGCACUGGGCUGGGAGGCCAGCAGAUCUGCUCUGCUCUCCUGAUGGCCAAAGGUUGUGGUCGUUGUUUUCACCAACGGAAAUCAUCCCCCAGUGGGAGAGAGGAAGCCAUGGUGGAGAAGCAGAGACAGACAGGAACACAACAGACACACGUGGAGUGAGGCUGGAAGGCAGCAGUGUCUCAGAGCGACAUAGUGGAGAUGAAGGUCUCCAGAACCUCAGGCCAGAGAGGGACAGUGGGCAGGGGGCCGAAGGUGGCGAUGGCCCUCAGCGUGGCUCAGGACAGCAAUAUGGACACCAGGGCAAUGCAGGAAGCAGGCCUGGGACCCCUUGGGCAAUAGUGAGUAUACACUGGAGUUCUUUCAUUCCUGGUUCCACAAACUGUUCUGAGGGCCCCCGCCCCCACCCCCACCCCCAAGAUGGCCUCCUAUACCCUGUAAACCAGAGAUCCCCACACCCCCGGGCCGCGGACCAGGAUGGGUCCAUGGCCCGAUAGGAACCAGGCUGCAGAGCAGGAGGUGAGUGGCGGGUGAGUGACCGAAGCAUCACCUGCAGCUCCCCGUCACUCCUCAUCGCUGGCAUUACCACCAUCCCCCCACCCCCAUGAAACCAGAAGGUUGGGGACUGCUGCUAUAAGCGAUUUGAGGUGAAAAGACCCACAUCCUGCUCUCAGGCCAAGAUGCAUCUAUGAUACACCAGGAAGACUGAUGCACUGCUAGUAAGCAUGGAUAAAGAGCCCAGGAGUUCAAAGGAGGACGCAGUAUGGUUAUCUCCCCUUGUUUUCCUUUUACUUGUGACAGAGAAUACUUAAUAGGUGCUCAAUGAACGUCAGCUGUGAUAUGUGUCCUCGCCAUCUACAUGCAUCACCUCACCGCAACCCUCUGUGGGGCAAGGGUCCAUUAUCAUCCCCAUUUCAUAGAUGACGAAGUUGCUCCAUGAAAGUUAAAUCACGGUUCAGGGUCGCUGGGAGGCAGCUGGAAGGCACAGAGCUGGGUUUUGAAGCGAGAUUCUUUUUGACUCUGGAGGACAAGCGCUUAAUCAUAACAUUUACAUGUUCUUGAACUUCCUGGAGCCCUUCAGAGCUCCCUUCUAGGGCCCAGGCUGGGGAAACUGGGACCAUGUGUGCUCGCCAGCACAACUCACGACUCUAUUUUACACAAACAAACCCUGUCCUUCUCCAAACUAACAAAUGAGUUUCAGAUUAGCUUUUAGGGAUUUUUUUUUUUUUUUAAACCUCUACUAUCCAAAGUUCUCGAGUAAUUCAGCAGCCAUUCAAGAGAAUGGAGGGGGCUGACUCUGUAACUGAACCCCAAAUUCUUCAUUUCUCAUUUUCCUAGUGCCUCUUAAAUACAAAGACAUUUUCAUCCUUAGCACCACUUCCUAGGGUUGGGGCUAUGACCUUGGCAGUCUCUGGCUCUAGAAAAAAGGUAUGGUACCUCUUGUGUGGUGUGGGGGAAGGAAGAAAGAAUGGGUGGUGAGUUGUGGGUGGUUAGCGAGAUGUGAGAUGUGUUCCCAUGGGUGUACAGGGCAGAACUUGGCUUCUGUCAUUAAGUGGUUUCAUCAAGCAGAACCCGCCCCACGUGAAGGCCAGGACUGUCUACCCCUCCCUUUUCUCCCAAAAAGAAAACACACACAAACAUUUCCCUGGGAGUUAAGGUCUCAGGUUCCUAGAUUUGGGCUUUUCAUUCCUUGUAAUAGGAAAGAGAGCUUCAUUUUUACUAGGCUGAGGACUCCUUUCUCAUUUAAAAUCCAUCAUUUCCCCUAAUCCCCAGCAGAUUCUUUGAAUUUGCUCUGUAAAUAUUUAUAUAAAAAUAAAUUCGAGGGCAGAGUCAAGUCAACCUGAGCAAAGAGUGCUGUAGGCAAGGUGUGACCUGAACUAGAGUCCCCGAGUACUCUCAGCCACUGGACAGGGAAGCAGCCUAAGCCCUGGGACCAAUUCGAAUUCCAUUUCUCUGGGCCCCUCAGAUUAGGGCUUCUUCCACAGCAGCCAUGCUCACACUUAGCUCUGGGAUGCACAUUUCUAGCACUCCCGCUCUCCCUGCACAGAGCUCUCCACAAAAAACCCUACAUACAAUGUCCCGCCUUCUAUUCUGUGACCCUUUUUCCUUUUAUCAGGAGUCACAAACCUACUAAAGCCAGCCCCCAGGGGUAUGGCCAAUGAGCUGUUAUAAAAGAACUAAUUUGGGAUUCUUUUAGGUGGGCUUGCGCUUUCCACUUCUCUACAGGCCCCACCAUUCCCUGUUGGCUCCUUCCCAGCCUUGUCACACAUUUUUGUUACCUGCUUGGCCCCUGAAGGCCUCUGAGGUUUUCAAACCUUGUUUUAUAUCUUUGUACUCCACAAAGAGCAGAAACCUAAAGAAGCAGACUGUCAGACCCCAUCUCCAAACUGCUGUGUGUCCCCAGGACCUCUGGAAGCUGUACAAAACCUAAACAUAUACCUCUUUGUCUUCUUUUUGGUGACCCAACUUUGUCCUCCUGACAGAUCCUAUUGGGACCAAGGCAUGGGAUCCAGACCUCUCAGGGAGGUCUGGGUGUUACAGCCUCUCCUAUAACCUGGGGGAGAAAAUAUGAAGCUGAAACCUCCCCUUCUCCCAAAUAAAAUGGUCCCCUGGCUAAAUCCAAUCUGAGAUGUACAUGCUUUUCAUCCUGAGUUUCCAAGAUGCCUCCCAUCAUAUAGAUAAGGAACCAAGAUGGCUCUGGUGUCCUUAGAUCAGUGGUCCCCAAAUUUUUUGGCCCCAGGGACUGGUUUCGUGGAAGAUAAUUUUUCCAUGGACAGUGGUGGUCGGGGAGGAUGGUUUAGGCAGUAAUGCGAGCGAUGGGGAGUGGCAGAUGAAGCUUCACUCACUCACCCACUGCUCACUCCUACUGUGUGGUCGGGUUCCUAACAGGCCGCAGACCCAUACCUGUCCACGGCCCGGGGGUUGGGGACCCUUGCCUUAGGUCACAGGACCCCAUGGGGCCACCAUGUUGGGACUCCAAGGAGUUUAUUCCCAUAGUGAGUGAUGCUUUCUGGUGUCCUUCAGCACAGUGGUUCUGAGGGCCUCUGAGUUUUGGUUUUCAAGCAUUUGGGCUCUGCAGACCCCUGGCCUUUUGGACAAUAUGCUGUGUUCUGUGUUCCCUGCUGCCAUGUCCAGAGUCCUGUAGUUUUCUGGUUGAGUUUCUCUACAUAGAUCCCAUCCUGGUUUCUCUUCUCUGAUUUAUCAUUCCUCGCUUAUGAUUUGGGUCUCCAUGCUCAUUUCCUUAGUCAGCCUGUGUCCCAGCCCCAUGACCGCCUAAAUCAACUCUAUGCUGGGGAAUCAUCAACCUGAUUCUUCUCCAUGGAUUCCUGGACUCUGGCAAUAGAACGGUACGGCAGCUAAUCCAGAUUACAGUUUCACCAAUGCCUUAUUCUUAGCCACUGACCUGGAGGCCAGGCCCAAGUAGCUUACAUUGUUCAUGCUAUAAUAAAGCCAACUCCCGCCAGCUGCACGCUUGGGGUCCUGCUAGAUUAUAUGCCCAAGCGCUGCUGGACGCGGACUCUACUCAGCCUAGAGCUGGUCCUCAAGGGCAGCUGCCCCCCUUCCCCUUUCCUCCCUUUCGCUGGGCUGUAAAGCUAGAAAUCCUAUCCCCCCGGGCUAGAGUCUGUCUUGUACCCUAAUUCCUUCUCUCGACACAUCCUCCUCCUGAUUAAUUCUUUCCCUCCCUCAGAGCCAGUUGAUCAUUCCCUCCUCUGUGCUCCCACAGCACUUCAGCGUGCAGCUAUUAUUACACUUAUCACAUUGUAUUACAGUGAGUUGUUUAUGUGUCUCUCUGCCUGCUCCACUUUUAACCCAUUGAGGACAAGGGCUGCAUCUUACUCAUGUUGGUGUUUUCCCAAUAGAUAUUCAAUAAAGAGAUAUUGAAUGAACUAAUAAAGACCUAUUGUAUAGCACAGGGAAUUGUACUCACUACUCUGUAAUGACCUAUACGGGAAAGGAACCUAAAAAAGA
Aethalodelphis obliquidens (Pacific white-sided dolphin) is the source of this 4132-nucleotide long non-coding RNA. RefSeq lists it as uncharacterized. The record is from RefSeq and is a predicted model, not a curated record. Lineage: Eukaryota; Metazoa; Chordata; Mammalia; Artiodactyla; Delphinidae. The transcript has 3 exons.